GAUGAACGCUGGCGGCGUGCCUAAUACAUGCAAGUCGAGCGAACAGACGAGGAGCUUGCUCCUCUGACGUUAGCGGCGGACGGGUGAGUAACACGUGGCUAACCUACCUAUAAGACUGGGAUAACUUCGGGAAACCGGAGCUAAUACCGGAUCAUAUAUUGAACCGCAUGGUUCAUUAGUGAAAGACGGUUUUGCUGUCACUUAUAGAUGGAUCCGCGCCGCAUUAGCUAGUUGGUAAGGUAACGGCUUACCAAGGCAACGAUGCGUAGCCGACCUGAGAGGGUGAUCGGCCACACUGGAACUGAGACACGGUCCAGACUCCUACGGGAGGCAGCAGUAGGGAAUCUUCCGCAAUGGGCGAAAGCCUGACGGAGCAACGCCGCGUGAGUGAUGAAGGUCUUCGGAUCGUAAAACUCUGUUAUUAGGGAAGAACAAAUGUGUAAGUAACUAUGCACGUCUUGACGGUACCUAAUCAGAAAGCCACGGCUAACUACGUG
RNAcentral lists this ribosomal RNA (497 nucleotides) under uncultured bacterium. Its description in RNAcentral is "partial 16S ribosomal RNA". It matches the Rfam family "Bacterial small subunit ribosomal RNA", at positions 28 to 507 of the family's 1533-position model. The record is from RNAcentral.